CCAGACUCCUACGGGAGGCAGCAGUGGGGAAUAUUGGACAAUGGGGGGAACCCUGAUCCAGCGACGCCGCGUGAGUGAGGAAGUAUUUCGGUAUGUAAAGCUCUAUCAGCAGGGAAGAAAGAAAUGGCGGUACCUGACUAAGAAGCCCCGGCUAACUACGUGCCAGCAGCCGCGGUAAUACGUAGGGGGCAAGCGUUAUCCGGAUUCACUGGGUGUAAAGGGAGCGUAGACGGCCAUGCAAGCCAGGGGUGAAAGCCUGGGGCCCAACCCCGGGACUGCCCUUGGAACUGCAUGGCUGGAGUGCGGGAGGGGCAGGCGGAAUUCCUGGUGUAGCGGUGAAAUGCGUAGAUAUCAGGAGGAACACCGGCGGCGAAGGCGGCCUGCUGGACCGCGACUGACGUUGAGGCUCGAAAGCGUGGGGAGCGAACAGGAUUAGAUACCCUAGUAC
This 448-nucleotide ribosomal RNA is filed under the name uncultured bacterium. RNAcentral's name for it is "bacterial SSU rRNA". It matches the Rfam family "Bacterial small subunit ribosomal RNA", at positions 331 to 793 of the family's 1533-position model. The record is from RNAcentral.